RNAcentral lists this long non-coding RNA (3076 nucleotides) under Monomorium pharaonis (pharaoh ant). Its description in RNAcentral is "uncharacterized LOC105839801". Lineage: Eukaryota; Metazoa; Arthropoda; Insecta; Hymenoptera; Formicidae. The record is from RNAcentral.
UUUUUUUCGUCUUUCCUCGUAAUAUUUAUUGUUAAAUUCAAAUGCGUGAUACAAAUCUCGAGAAAGUUCUUUCCUUUAGUGAUUAUAAUUACAAGAACACACACACACACACACACACACACACACACACACACACACACACACACAGAAAGGGAAAAAUAAUUGCGCUUUCUAUAUUUGGGCGUCUUCUCAAUUUCUCGUUAAUCGAUUUAAGUUUUCGCUUAAUUAAAGUCAACUAAAAAUCAACUAAAAAUUUGUGAUAAGCAUAGUCAUGACCGAUUAAAUUGGUUAUUAAAAUUCAAGAUACACAACUUAAAAGAUGUGAAAUCCUUUAUCAUAGUCAAGAAUCUUUCAAUCAUAAUUACCAUAAGCUAACGUUUAAAUUUGGCUUGGUACUUGAUUUUUUGAGCUGCGUCACUUGAAACGAAAUUUAAUCGCGUUCGAUUUAAUCGCUCCGUAACCAAACUAUUUUUCUCGCCGAACCGAGGAGAGGCUUCCUUCAUACUUCGUUCGUGUCCGGGGAAGGAAGUCCGUGAGAUUUCACCGCUUGCCACUAGAAGAUUAAAGAGGAAUCUCUAGUAAUCGAUCGCGUGUUCUUCUUUAUUUGCCUUUCACGCUUUUCCCCGCGGGGAAACUGCAAUUUCUGCAGAGUCUAACUGUAAUCCAUUGCAACUGCAUUCCGUUCUUCCCGGCCACGUUUGCAACCUGAAUUUACUUUCGCGUGAUGACGCCGGCAUUGGAAGCGUUUCAUUCUGGAAUAGUAGAGCGCACCUUAUCGAAGCUAAAGGGCCCCGCGGAACGCCUCUAAUCCCGGAAUCCGUUUUCGAACGCAAUAAAGAGCGCAAAGGCUAUUUGCGAUAAAGCUUAACGUUUGCCAAUUGAUAGCAACCGAUAACGAUAAGACCGAGUAUCGAGCGGGCAGGAGAAAGACACCUCAAUCGUCGUGAAAUCGUGGUCGAGUAAACCGAAGGGGCAGCGUGAGGAACGUGAUAAAUUGCGCCGUGAAAGAUGACACGUUCAUAUGUCCAGAUAAAUAUAUCCGUCAUGCAAUAUGCAUUGUGUUUUAAUGUUGUGGGCGUCGGCAAAAACUUUCAAAGAGAUUAACGUCAAUAAAUCGAGUUUAGUGAGCAACGGGCGGAUUGUAAAAUAUUCAAAGACAGGGAUUCCUCGAAGAUUCAACGGCAGAUUAGAGGGAAAAAUAGGAUUAUCGAAAAUCGUUUAAGGAUCCGACAAUCGAGGAAUCGCUACAAUGGCUGAAAGAACGUCGGUGGCUGACAGUGAAAAAGUGGAAGAAAUCGCGCCCGAUAAGACGCAAGAGGUCAACGCCAUUUUGUCAAAGGAGACGCCGGUUGUCACGGAAGACGGAAGCGAAAUUAAAAGUCGGACCAAGAGGAACAUCAUCGCCGUGCCGGAACGAAACGAGAUGGAGAGAGACGGGACGACGUAUCGCCGUGAUAUGAACGGACGAUGGAGGCCCGUAUUGUAUUGAUUAACGUUUCACACGAUUUGACGAUACAAGCAUCAUCUCACAAACAUAUAUUGCAAUGAAAUAUCACAUGACGAGAGAUUGAUUAUUUAUCUACUCAACAUUAUUGGACUAUUUCAUCAGUAAUAUGAUUAUCAAUGUAUAUUUGUUUUUCGUGUGUCAUUGAUUACGCGAUAAUUUGUGGUCACAAUAUGGAUUCCGAUUUAUUGUAAUAAAAUAUCUGUCUAUCAAUCUAUGUCUCUUUUAUUUUUAAACGUAUAAAAUAAAAACCAUGUAUGUACGUCAAAAUCUAACAAUAAAUAGAAAAAACCACAGAGUUGUAUGUUUGUAUACAUCACACGUCACUACAUGUAUUGAAUUUAAAUGACAAAUGAAUCGCCGAAUUUGAAACUGAUUUUUCCCUAUAGACGUUUAAUUAUAAUUUCUAUCGUGUACAGAGAAGCAACUACAACAAAUAUUUAAUUAAAAUAAAAUGUUAUUUAUAAAUGUAUGCCCGUAUCUAUGUUCUAUUUCCAGUGCAUUCUUUAGGUCAGCUAUAUCAUCAGCUUCUAACAUUUAUUGGUUUAUACACGGUAUUAUCAGCGACGUGAUAAACGCCAGCGGUUAAUUUAAAGCCGAAAAUGUAAUAAAAUAUAAGUAUAUCGUUAUUUAUCUUUCUAUUCAGACAUAAAUUUGUUUAUCGAUGUACAGAUUGACCUAUUUUUUAUUGAUCGACCAAAGAUAUUUUUAAAGAUCUUUAACCAUGUCAAGAUCGAUGUUAGAGUUUGUCACGUUGGUCUGUAGCUAGCGGAGCUAUAGCGCCUCAGGAGAGGAGGGGGGAGGGGGAGUCAUAGGACAUGCAAAGCUUAGCCUGUAUCUGUAUAUUACCCCAACGGGUACAUUAUUUAACAGUUUAGAGUUAGAGUUGUGUGAAUGCUCCACUUAUAUUAAAGUUUCACAGACGUUUACACGGAAGAACGGCGGAGUGUUCUAGCUACGAUGUUCAUUGACGACACUGAUAUUUGUAGACUUCGAUUGCGAAGAACAACUCUUUAAUCCAAACGAUUCUAAUUUUUAUUGUAAUGAAGCAAAGUGCUUCGUCGGAAGUAACGUUUCUAAGUAUAAAUAGAAAACAUGCGAUGGCGAAGCGGUAAGAUACUUGCCGAGAUAAAUAGAGUAAAGAAGCAUUAAGAGCGAGAAAGGUUCGAAGAAGAUUCACCCAAGUUACGACAGUGAAAAGAAUCGAGAGGAUAGAGAAAGAGAUUAAAAGAAAAAGGAAAUUAGAAGCGCGGGGAUUCCGAUUUUUAUCUGCACUUCUACUUAUUUGUACUUUCGAGCCAAGAAAUUAUUGUGUCGCUUUGAGAUGAAAUUGUUCAUGAGGUAUUUUGCUGAUACUCGUGACGAUGAUGUUAACCUUGAUACCAUCGCCGAUUGGUCAGGAGGACAAGAAUGUAACAUAUACACAGCCCGAGUUUGGUACCCAGCGCAGAAUUAUAGUGGUACCCGCAAGAACAACUGCAAAACCAUGUCCGGAACGCCAGAGACAGGAUUCCAGAGGAACAUGUCGCACGCCUCUAUAAUGACCGAGAAACACAGGCUUAUGGAUAUCAU